This 1468-nucleotide long non-coding RNA is filed under the name Chrysolophus pictus (golden pheasant). RNAcentral's name for it is "lncRNA (ENSCPIG00010001068.1)". Lineage: Eukaryota; Metazoa; Chordata; Aves; Galliformes; Phasianidae. The record is from RNAcentral.
CUGAAGAGGGCAUGAGAGUGGGUUGGAUUAAGUGCCUCAUCUCAGCAGGGGCUGCAGAUGAGAUAAGGAGAGCAGAUCUGCCAACCCAUGCGUGGAGUCGGGGCAGGAGGGAGCGAUGAGCCAAAGCCAAUUCUCCAGCAUCUGCUGUUGGGAUCUGUUUCACAAAGUGCCCAUCCCUGUGUGAUCCUGAUUCAUCGGCCAGAAAUGCUGCCUGAACAGAGGGCUCAGAGUCGUGGCACAUUCCCUGAGCCCCUGACGCGACGGCUUAUUGCACCAAAGGCAGGAGGCAGCCCCUCCUGCUGCCAAACCAAAGAUGCCAGCAAAGAACAAAUCCCACGCUGGCAGGAGGGCAUCGCUCUUUGGGCACAGGUCAGGUGCUGCCCUGCAUCACUGCUUGUACUGCACUCAGUGCCUGCUGCUUUUAGGGCAGAAGACUUCCCACUGCCUGGUGGCUUUAGGUAUUUCUGGGUUGUCUUUUUUUUUUUUCUAUUUGUUUGUUUCCAGUUCACUUUUUUUCUUAAUGGAUAGAGCUGCUGGGGUUCCAGGAAGCAGUGCAGCUAAGUGUGGCUUUGGGUGACCAGCUGGACACAGGAGGUGCCAACUUGAAGCCAAAAAUGGAUAUUCUUCAUUUCCCCCCAAGCUGAACAUUUGUUCUGCUAAAUUCAACCCUUUCGAAUAUAGAUGGGCCUGCUGCAUGUAUAGAUUGCCUUUAACGUGAAUGACAGCAGAGCAGCUCAGCUGCCUUCCUGUGGUCAUCUCCUUAGACAUGGUGCUUUGUUUCAUAGAGCCACUGAAAGGCUGGGUUGGAAGGGACCUUAAAGACCCUCCAGCCCUAACCCCUGCUGUGUGGCUGUGUGCUCCUCAUCAGCUCAGGCUGCCCAGGGACCAUCCAUGGCCUUGGGCACCUCAAGGGAUGGGGCACCCACAGCUCUCUGGUGCUGCUGUGCUAUUCAAGUUGUGGAUGUUCUGUAAGAGGUUCUUCAUCUUGGCCACCUGAGGCUUGAACAUCCCAUUGUUUUAAUUGUUUGGUUUUUUUUGGGGGGGGGAGGUGCAAUCUCCCAGCUGCUCUUAUGUUUUGUGUUACUCAGGGUGCAAUGAGACACCCCCCUCCUCCUGGAGCUGCUCUCUCUCUUUGCAUGAAAGGGUUGCUGGAUCACUGUGUUCACCUCAUUCCCCAUGCCUCACCUGGCAGAUAGCUGGAGGGAGCAGCUGGGGGCAGAAACCACUUCAGCUAACAAAGCUGCAAGCAGAGAGAAUCACAGAAUCAUAAAAUCAUAGAAUGGCCUGGGUUGAAAAGGACCACAAUGCUCAUCCAGUUCCAACCCCCUGCUAUGUGCAGGGUCACCAACCAGCAGACCAGGCUGCCCAGAGCCACAUCCAGCCUGGCCUUGAGUGCCUCCAGGGAUGGGGCAUCCACAACCUCCUUGGGCAGCCUGUUCCAGAGCAGGGGUAUUGCACCAUGACAGCC